CAGCUGUGUUAGGGCUAGCUCCUUGCCUCUGUUUGACUUUGCUCCUGGGAUCAGAGCAGGGCUUUGGAGAGUCCUACGCAGAGAUCAUCAUCCAAGGACAUGUUAUCGAAGGAUCUCCAUCUCCCAAAGUUUAAAACAACUCAAGAAAGGGCCCAGGAAGAAGUGAAAUCCUCUCCAGAAGGGUCAUUUGAAAGAGCGUGUUUCCAUAACACUGCAUUGUUACAGCAUCACAAGGAUUUGUCUCCUCUUCUGGCUCCAGCAUGCGUAUUCCUGGCUCCCAUGGAGGCACUGUGGACAGCCCAUGCCAUAUAACAUGCCAAAAACAUGACCUCCCCAUGAACUUCAGGCCAUAUUUUCAAGUCUGCGCCCAGCUCCUUGCAGGCAGGGCUGUCUGGCCAAUGCAUUCUGGCCCUUUUGCAUGGAAAAUGAGCUGUGUCAGCCUUCAUGGCCCGCUGACUUGCCAGCUGUGUCCCUAACAGCACUUUGCAACCUCCUCCCUCCAUGCUCAACAUGUUGCCUUCACCCAGCACGUGGGACAGCAACGAGGGAACUGUGAGCUCGUCCUCGGUGGCUGGGGCCCAGCUGGCCACCCCCCAUCUCCCCACUGCAGCCACCACACACUCCUCAAUGCAGCAGAACUCAAUGUACGGCCUUUUUUUUUUUUUUUUUUUUUCUUUUCUUCCUUGGUUUUCCUGUUUCCAGAACAGUUGAAUAUUUUAUUUGCAUCGUGCCCCAGUUCCCCAGUUUCCAGCACGCAGAACAGGGCGAUCUGUACCCGUCUCUUGCAGCAGCUGGUGCUUGCUUCCCUGGCAAAGCUCCAGUUAAUGCUUUCUCCCCCAGCCUAAGGCACUUUAUGAU
Molecule: non-coding RNA, 858 nt
Organism: Phasianus colchicus (ring-necked pheasant)
Lineage: Eukaryota; Metazoa; Chordata; Aves; Galliformes; Phasianidae
Source: RefSeq, a predicted model, not a curated record